GGGAAGUUGAAGGUUAGCAUGCAGGAAGGACACUCCAAUCCACAGUAACUGCAGCAGUCUUCACUUUCUUCCUGUUCCUGAUCCCCUAGCCCAUGUGAUCUGCUGGGGGCGGGGCCUCUUCUCCCAGCCCUCCACUCACAGGAGGAGGAUUCAGAAGGAGGAGGAGCCUGCUGCAAGGGAAAGGGCCCCUGUGAGUCAGUGCAGGUGAUUGAUUUGCUUUUCACGCACGUAGAAUAGUUCUCGUGCCAAUAAUCUAGAGAUCAGCACGGUCGGUCACCACAGUCACAGUCCUCUACUCUCACUCCUGCAGGAGUCCUCAUACACCUACCUGCAGGACGGGUUUGCCCACUCUGUCUGUCACUGACCAGCAUGGAGGAGAUGCAGUCAUCCAUCCAUCCCUGUAAACUGGGUGGCUCACCUUACUAAACCACUACUGUCAGCACUCAGGAGGAACUUAAACCUAUGAAGGUAGCAUGAACCUAAUGGGACUGUGAUUACAGAUAGAGGUAGAGGAGAAAGUAGCCAGGGUUGGCUAGGUUACUUUCUACUUGUAAUCCGUUAGGGUUACAAGCUACCAGUCAAAAAUUGUAAUCAUUAAUGUAACUUUUGGGUUACCCAAACUCAGUCUCUGACAUCAUAGUGGUCUCUGACAUCAUAGUGGUCAGACUCCCUCAGGUGGAACCAAAUUGAACCAACUUUUUUCAAUGCUGAAUUUAAUGUCAUUGAGAAAACAGAAUGGUGUCAAUGUAUUUAUUUUCGCAAUCAUCCUUUCUGAAUUGAAAAGUAAACCAAGAAGUAAUCAUGUAGUUAAAAAAAAAAAAAAAGUAUCUUUAAUUUGAUUGCAAUUUUUUUUCUGUAAUGUACCUGAUUAGACCGUUUUUUUGGGGGGGUAAUCAGAUUACAUGUAAUCAGUUACUGCCCAAUCCUGGAAGUAGCAGAGAGGAGGGGGGAGAGAGAGAAGAGUAGCUGAGGGCCUUCUCUGCAGUGUGUUGCUGCUACUGCAGGGACAAGGAAGUUGGGGAUAAUCCUGCUGCCCACAUGUCACUGGCAUGGUGCUUGUGCAAAUGGCACGCUGCUGGGCCAAGCGGUGUGGAGGAGGGUUAGUGACUAAUUAUACUACAUUAUGAAACAGCA
This 1134-nucleotide long non-coding RNA is filed under the name Salmo salar (Atlantic salmon). RNAcentral describes it as "lncRNA (ENSSSAG00000085347.1)". The record is from RNAcentral. Lineage: Eukaryota; Metazoa; Chordata; Actinopteri; Salmoniformes; Salmonidae.